UACGAAGGGGACUAGCGUUGUUCGGAAUUACUGGGCGUAAAGCGCACGUAGGCGGAUUUGUUAGUCAGGGGUGAAAUCCCGGGGCUCAACCUCGGAACUGCCUUUGAUACUGCAAGUCUCGAGUCCGAUAGAGGUGGGUGGAAUUCCUAGUGUAGAGGUGAAAUUCGUAGAUAUUAGGAAGAACACCGGUGGCGAAGGCGGCCCACUGGAUCGGUACUGACGCUGAGGUGCGAAAGCGUGGGGAGCGAACAGG
This 253-nucleotide ribosomal RNA is filed under the name uncultured bacterium. RNAcentral describes it as "partial 16S ribosomal RNA". It matches the Rfam family "Bacterial small subunit ribosomal RNA", at positions 524 to 776 of the family's 1533-position model. The record is from RNAcentral.